Hydractinia symbiolongicarpus is the source of this 1132-nucleotide long non-coding RNA. RefSeq lists it as uncharacterized. NCBI's taxonomy places the organism in Eukaryota, Metazoa, Cnidaria, Hydrozoa, Anthoathecata, Hydractiniidae. The transcript has 2 exons. The record is from RefSeq and is a predicted model, not a curated record.
GAAUAAAAGUUUGAGGGUUUUUUUUAAUAGAAGUUUGAGAUUUUUUUUGAAUAGAAGUUCAAGAUUUUUCCGGAAUAGAAACUUGAGGAACUACUGAAUAGAAGUUCCGAAAAGUUGAAUAGAAGUUUGACCCUUCAGUGCCAUCGUAUUAUAUAUAUGUUGUACCGCGAAAGCUAGCGCAAACACAAGCCCAAGAAAGAGACUGUCAUUUUCAACCUCAGAGGUUUUCAUCUCAAAGAGCUCUGGGAACGAGAAUGAGAGACUGCAAACAUGAAGGCAAACAUAAAUUCGAUCAACGAAAAAUUUAUUCUUGCGUUUUAGUUUGUGUUUGCAGCAUGUUUUACGCAAUGUGAAUCGGAAAUCUCUUAUUGCGCCCCGCCGAAGGGGCGCACAUUUAGUGGACCGCGGGUAUAUAGUGUUUGUUGCGCCCCACCGAAGGGGCGCACAUUUAGUGGACCGCGGGUAUAUAGUGUUUGUGUUGUGUAUGGCAAAAAAAUUUUCCACUCUUUACUUCGCGGGGGAACUUUGGCUCGAACAUCCAACCUAGGUUUGAUAUAACACAACCUGUGUGUUUGGUACCAUCAAGACAAAAAUAACACUGAUCGAGCAAAACUUAUCUUGUCUCGGUUUCUUUGUUGUCUCUGAAGAUUUGACUGCCAUAAAAAAUAUUAAUCGAGAUUCUUUUGUUAUGUUAAUUUAAAGCUUUGUAAUAUUGUCUCGUUUAAUAUGCUUAAAUGUCACUGCAGCCCACGUGAAUUUAUCUUCAAGAAAAGGUUUGUUUUUCUUUGUCCAAGUUGUUUCGAAACUUGUUAACAAUCAUUUGUUAUGAAACCAUGCACCAUCAGCAGUUUCGAAAAAUCUUCAACGAGAGAAAUUUUUAAGGAUUUUAUUGGUAACUUAACAGAGUAAUAAUUCAUUGAAAUUGAAAUUGUUCAGAAGUUAUUAUAUAUAUUCGAAUCGUGAAGUUCAUACAUAGCAAUCCUGCAUCCUGGAAUUUUCGAGAUCAGUUAUAAAAAAAUCCAGUUAAAGUUUUAACUAUUGUUUUAGAAUAUAUACUAUAUAUAUGUAAAAAAAAAAUUAUUUUUUAUUUAUCAAGUUGUAUUUUACGCAAUAAUAAUUGAGAAUUAGGAUA